Molecule: long non-coding RNA, 1573 nt
Organism: Lolium perenne
Lineage: Eukaryota; Viridiplantae; Streptophyta; Magnoliopsida; Poales; Poaceae
Source: RefSeq, a predicted model, not a curated record
GAAGACGAAGAUACAGAGAGAUCGAAAAGCCGCACGUCUACAUCUCUCCAUCUCCACGUUUUCUCCUCUGUCUCCCUACCUCCCUCGCGCGAUCGUGCCGCCUCCCGGCGACCCCUGCCACGCCGUUCACCCCUCUCCCGGCCCACUCCCUCGGCGACGCCGCGUCCCUCGAUGUCCGUGCUCUAGGGAAACACAAGCGGCUCCGCUUGGUCCGCCGCCCACCGGCGACUAUGUCGACCACCGCCACGGUCGGCUUCCUGGCUCCCGUCUCUAGACGCACGCUCAAGUACCGUCUUGAUCUACUCCAACAAGUCCGCCACCGCCGUCACCGUCGCCGUGGCCAUAUCAAGGUCACCCCAUCCUCGCAUUUGCCCGCGGACGUCAGAGCCCUCGCGCCCAUUUGGCACUCCGGGAUUCUCGGAAACUAACAGGGGAAAUGGGCAAGUCGUGCAAAAGCCAGGCUUCUUGCUAGUGAUGCUUGUUGGCAGAAUAUGUGAUAGAAUCCUAUUGAAGUACUCAUUAAUGGAGGUACUUGUUGUGGAGAGGUUCCUGCAUACGUAGCAUUGAGGGAUGACUUGGUGACCACAAGGAGCUCCUCUCUGUGCCCUUCGCCGUAAUUAAUGUACCUGCCCAUUUAUAACUAGGAAUUGCGACGUAAUCAUUGUUUUUGUAUGGUACUGUGUAGAAAAGGUUUUUUAGAUCUUCAGAUUUUAAUUGAGACGUGGCAGAUUCUAAUAUGUCAUUAGGUGUUUCAUGUGUAAUCUUCUCUAGUCUGCUGAAAAUGCUAACUAAGGCUGCUCAUAGUGGGGAGUAACUUAGACUAGUAACAUAUGCCAUGUUACUAGUCUAUGUUACUAUCUUCAUAGUGGGUAGUAACUUAUAUGUGGUGUCAUGCAUUGUGUCAUUUAUUAUGUUGUAGACUCAUUUUGUCUUGGGGUGUGUGAUGUUAUGGUAACAUAGCUAGUUACCACCUCAUUCUCUUUCUUCAUUUAUUCGCAUGCCAUGUCACCAAAAUGCCUUGAGAUGUGUGAUGUUACUAGCUAUGUUACUCCCACUAUGAGCAGUCUAAGGAACUACCAUGUAUAUUGAUGAUUAAUUCGUAAGAGGCACUUUGCUGACAAUAAUUAUACUGCCUUAGAAAAUAUUUGUUGGUUUUAGCUACGACCAAAACAGAAACAACUUGUAAGAUUCUGUAGCUAGCAGUCCAACAACUAUCAGGGUAGUGUAAAUUAGGGAUUGCUGGGAUUUAUCUUCAUUUUGUUGGGGAAAAAGCAUUUACUUCUGCAUGAACUAGGUGGUUUGGAUUCAUUCUACAUUUGUAUGACUUGAGGCAACAAUAUUGAUAUUAUUAAUUGUUGAAGCAUUUACUUCUGCCUGAACUAGAUUUAUCUUCAUUUUGUUGGGAACUAUAGGGAUGAUUGGCAUCUUGUGAUUUUGUAGUGAUAUUAUUAAUUGUUGAAGCUUGCUGCCUCAAUAUUGUUACCUCAAGUCAUUCAAGUUCUGUCGGUUCAUCUUUUAUUAGAUAUUGAGCCUAUUUAGAUUUGAAAAUACGUUCUUUUGAAUAUCUAUGUGU